GACGAACGCUGGCGGCGUGCUUAACACAUGCAAGUCGAACGGAAAGGCCCUGCUUUUGUGGGGUGCUCGAGUGGCGAACGGGUGAGUAACACGUGAGUAACCUGCCCUUGACUUUGGGAUAACUUCAGGAAACUGGGGCUAAUACCGGAUAGGAGCUCCUGCUGCAUGGUGGGGGUUGGAAAGUUUCGGCGGUUGGGGAUGGACUCGCGGCUUAUCAGCUUGUUGGUGGGGUAGUGGCUUACCAAGGCUUUGACGGGUAGCGGCCUGAGAGGGUGACCGGCCACAUUGGGACUGAGAUACGGCCCAGACUCCUACGGGAGGCAGCAGUGGGGAAUAUUGCACAAUGGGCGGAAGCCUGAUGCAGCAACGCCGCGUGCGGGAUGACGGCCUUCGGGUUGUAAACCGCUUUCGCCUGUGACGAAGCGUGAGUGACGGUAAUGGGUAAAGAAGCACCGGCUAACUACGUG
Molecule: ribosomal RNA, 467 nt
Filed under: uncultured bacterium
Lineage: Bacteria
Description: partial 16S ribosomal RNA
Rfam family: Bacterial small subunit ribosomal RNA
Source: RNAcentral